This 358-nucleotide unclassified non-coding RNA is filed under the name soil metagenome. RNAcentral describes it as "partial contains 5.8S ribosomal RNA, internal transcribed spacer 2, and large subunit ribosomal RNA". The stretch from base 1 to 120 matches the Rfam family "5.8S ribosomal RNA", at positions 35 to 154 of the family's 154-position model. The record is from RNAcentral.
GAUGAAGAACGUAGCGAAAUGCGAUAAGUAAUGUGAAUUGCAAAAUUCAGUGAAUCAUCGAAUCUUUGAACGCACAUUGCGCCCGCCAGUAUUCUGGCGGGCAUGCCUGUCCGAGCGUCAUUUCAACCCUCGAACCCCUCCGGGGGGUCGGCGUUGGGGACCUCGGGAGCCCCUAAGACGGGAUCCCGGCCCCGAAAUACAGUGGCGGUCUCGCCGCAGCCUCUCCUGCGCAGUAGUUUGCACAACUCGCACCGGGAGCGCGGCGCGUCCACGUCCGUAAAACACCCAACUUCUGAAAUGUUGACCUCGGAUCAGGUAGGAAUACCCGCUGAACUUAAGCAUAUCAAUAAGCGGAGGA